This is a small nuclear RNA of Octopus sinensis (East Asian common octopus), 102 nucleotides long. The record is from RefSeq and is a predicted model, not a curated record. Lineage: Eukaryota; Metazoa; Mollusca; Cephalopoda; Octopoda; Octopodidae.
GAAACCAGCAGUACAUAGACUAAAACCGAAAUGGUACAGAGAAGAUUAGUGUGGGCCCUGCACAAGGAUGGGACACAAAUUCGUCAAGUGUUCAUAUUAUAU